AAAAAACCCCAUCUCCUCUUUAGUAGCCACCUAUUAAAAGGAGAAAAAAAAAAAAAAGGGAAAAAUAGGAGAUCUGUAGACAAAGAGAGGAAGCUAUCAGCGGAUGAAGUAGAAAAGAUAGCAGAAUUGUUGGAGAGAGCUAGACGUAGAAGUAUGCAGAAACUUGAAGUCGCGUGUGGCUGGAGAAGAAGCAGAAACGUUGUGAGCUGAGCAGAAAGACAGAAUCAAAAAGCAGAAGUAAAUGUUGAGCAAGCAGAAGGGAAAGUAGUUGAAAAAAAGGGAUUAAUCAAGUAAUUUAUUUAUUUAAUUUUUAAUUAGCAUAUUUUUAGAAUAUAAAUUUUCGUGUAAUUUUUUUUUUAUAAAACCUGAAUG
Molecule: long non-coding RNA, 372 nt
Filed under: Carica papaya (papaya)
Lineage: Eukaryota; Viridiplantae; Streptophyta; Magnoliopsida; Brassicales; Caricaceae
Description: long non-coding RNA (CPAP_LNC010684)
Source: RNAcentral